UGGGGAAUUUUGCACAAUGGGGGAAACCCUGAUGCAGCGACGCCGCGUGAUUUAGAAGGCCUUCGGGUUGUAAAAAUCUUUUUUACGGGAUGAAAAUGACAGUACCGUAAGAAUAAGGUCCGGCUAAAUACGUGCCAGCAGCCGCGGUAAUACGUAUGGACCGAGCGUUGUCCGGAAUCAUUGGGCGUAAAGGGUACGUAGGCGGCCUAGUAAGUUAGAAGUGAAAUAAUAUAGCUCAACUAUAUAAAGCUUUUAAAACUGCUAGGCUUGAGAGAUGGAAGGGAAAGUGGAAUUCCUAGUGUAGCGGAGAAAUGCGCAGAUAUUAGGAAGAAUACCGGUGGCGAAGGCGACUUUCUGGUCAUCAUCUGACGCUGAGGUACGAAAGCGUGGGUAGCAAACAGG
This 402-nucleotide ribosomal RNA is filed under the name bacterium. Its description in RNAcentral is "partial 16S ribosomal RNA". It matches the Rfam family "Bacterial small subunit ribosomal RNA", at positions 355 to 776 of the family's 1533-position model. The record is from RNAcentral.